UACGUAGGGUGCAAGCGUUGUCCGGAAUUAUUGGGCGUAAAGAGCUCGUAGGCGGUUUGUUGCGUCGGCUGUGAAAUCCCGAGGCUCAACCUCGGGUCUGCAGUCGAUACGAGCAAACUAGAGUGUUGCAGGGGAGACUGGAAUUCCUGGUGUAGCGGUGAAAUGCGCAGAUAUCAGGAGGAACACCGGUGGUCGAAGGCGGGUCUCUGGGCAACAACUGACGCUGAGGAGCGAAAGCGUGGGGAGCGAACAGG
This 254-nucleotide ribosomal RNA is filed under the name uncultured bacterium. Its description in RNAcentral is "partial 16S ribosomal RNA". It matches the Rfam family "Bacterial small subunit ribosomal RNA", at positions 524 to 776 of the family's 1533-position model. The record is from RNAcentral.